This 73-nucleotide transfer RNA is filed under the name Dallia pectoralis (Alaska blackfish). RNAcentral's name for it is "tRNA-Thr". It matches the Rfam family "tRNA". Rfam says of the family: Transfer RNA (tRNA) molecules are approximately 80 nucleotides in length. The record is from RNAcentral. Lineage: Eukaryota; Metazoa; Chordata; Actinopteri; Esociformes; Umbridae.
GGAGUUGGUAUCUCAGUGGUAGAGUGCAUGCUUUGUGUGUAUGAGGUCCUGGGUUCAAAUCCCAUCUGCUCCC